Ictalurus punctatus (channel catfish) is the source of this 1230-nucleotide long non-coding RNA. RefSeq lists it as uncharacterized. The record is from RefSeq and is a predicted model, not a curated record. The transcript is spliced from 3 exons. NCBI's taxonomy places the organism in Eukaryota, Metazoa, Chordata, Actinopteri, Siluriformes, Ictaluridae.
GCGGUUUCCUUAAUGGACAGCGGCCCUGAGGAACAUCUCCAAACAUGGGCUGGAACUUCCCAGGGGUAAACUCUCACUCCUUACACUCCUUCAGAGCGACUCAUUGUAGGGUGGGUGGGGGUAAUUAAAGUUUUAGGUAGAUGAAGCAAGGGUUAAAUCCCACAGCCCCCAAUAUCUGUGUGUAGUCGAACCACAAUGCUGUACCACAGGAAACCGCCCACCGGAGUGAAAACAGACCAGGAAACGUGAGUUUGAUGUCAUUCACCUUCGUGUGGUUACGUCACGUCCGCACAGAGAAAGAAGACCUGGCUACCGUAUCGUGUGUGUGGGGGCUGAGGAUGGUGGAGUGUUUGUAGCUUGCUUUUAUAAGAGUUGCUUAGAAUUGAAACUUGUGAUCUAGGUGGCUGCUUUAAUCUGGAUCAUUCUAAACGCAAUCAAUCAUCGCUGACCUCUGGGGAAAUCAGCUGUUGUCAAAACCAAGAAACCUCAAACUGCGGAGAACCUGCAGUCAAAAAGGGAAAGCGACAGGGCCGGUGCUAAACCUAGAAUAAAUAUAGGCAUGGUUUUUGAGACAUGGUGAUAACUCCAAUAUCUGAAGGGAUUGAAGACUGACGCAGAGAUGGGUUUUUUCCUGCUGAACAUGUCAGACAUUUCAGUGGCUCAAUAGGUAGCUAGCUAAAAUUAGCGCACUUAUUGGCUUUAUUCAGCUAGGAGUUUCCAAUGUUUGUUUGUUUGUUUGUUUUGCUACACUUAUAAAUUACACUUAUCUUCUGCUAGCUAGGAGAGGGAGUAAUUCCCUUCGUUCCAAGAAAACUCUAUUCGCCGCCACCUCCAUUGUGAAGGAUCAGUGCUGAUAUACAACCCAUAACUAUACCUCAAACCAUCAGAUUCAUCCACACAGAGGAGCAGUGCCGAAGCACAACUCACGUAAAAAUAAAUAACUAACUCUGCAAGUAACUUGCAAUUUUAAGUUUCAAAACAGAGAUGGCGUUAGAGGGGAAAAGGUUUUAAUAUAAAUGUAAGACCGAUAUUACAGUAGUGUAUUUGGCUCACCAAUCAAGUGCACUUAAAUGCCUUGAAUAAAAUACAAAUUUUAAAGUCCGAGUGUACAUAAUGACGGUGGUUAAAAUACAAUGAUUUAGGUAGUCGAUGGAACUAAUCUUAAAAUGUAUCCAUAUUUAACUGCCAGUACUGUAAACUGUAAUUAAACCUCCACAUCUUAUAAAAGAA